AGCAACACCUUCUUCUGCAAUUAUAAACAUCUCUACUUGUUCAGAAUCCUUGAAGAAGUUGAUCAUACGCUUGAGGUCCUUAUCUUUAGAUAUUGUUAUGAGAGUCUUCUUAUUCCCCGGGAGAAAAUACUUAAUUGUCAUUCCAUCAGCACGACACUCAAAAUUUUCCGCUACUUCUUGCUUAAAAUCAUUCAGAAGUGUCUGGUCAUCAAGGUCUAAUGCAUAUGCCUCCCCACCAACAUAUGUCAAAGAUCCAUCUUCAUUGUUGGUAAUAAACUCC
Molecule: long non-coding RNA, 280 nt
Filed under: Solanum pimpinellifolium
Lineage: Eukaryota; Viridiplantae; Streptophyta; Magnoliopsida; Solanales; Solanaceae
Description: long non-coding RNA (SPIM_LNC000191)
Source: RNAcentral